This 77-nucleotide transfer RNA is filed under the name bacterium. RNAcentral describes it as "tRNA-Lys". It matches the Rfam family "tRNA". Rfam says of the family: Transfer RNA (tRNA) molecules are approximately 80 nucleotides in length. The record is from RNAcentral. RNAcentral also lists the same sequence under 1 other name.
GGGUCGUUAGCUCAGCUGGUUAGAGCACCGGCCUUUUAAGCCGGGUGUCCUGGGUUCGAGUCCCAGACGACCCACCA